GGCUCAAUGGUCUAGUGGUAUGAUUCUCGCUUUGGGUUCUUAGCUCGAUUGCGAGAGGCCCCGGGUUCGAAUCCCGGUUGGGCCC
Non-coding RNA from Xylaria sp. CBS 124048, 85 nucleotides. NCBI's taxonomy places the organism in Eukaryota, Fungi, Ascomycota, Sordariomycetes, Xylariales, Xylariaceae. The record is from the annotation of a GenBank genome assembly.